UACAGAGGGUGCAAACGUUGUUCGGAUUUACUGGGCGUAAAGCGUGUGUAGGCGGUUUGGCAAGUCGGAUGUGAAAGCCCCGGGCUCAACUCGGGAAGUGCACUCGAUACUGCUAGACUGGAGUGUGGGAGAGGUUGGUGGAAUUCUCGGUGUAGAGGUGAAAUUCGUAGAUAUCGAGAGGAACACCGGCGGCGAAGGCGGCCAACUGGACCAACACUGACGCUGAGACACGAAAGCGUGGGGAGCAAACAGG
Molecule: ribosomal RNA, 253 nt
Filed under: uncultured bacterium
Lineage: Bacteria
Description: partial 16S ribosomal RNA
Rfam family: Bacterial small subunit ribosomal RNA
Source: RNAcentral